UGGGGAAUAUUGCACAAUGGGCGCAAGCCUGAUGCAGCCAUGCCGCGUGUAUGAAGAAGGCCUUCGGGUUGUAAAGUACUUUCAGCGGGGAGGAAGGGAGUAAAGUUAAUACCUUUGCUCAUUGACGUUACCCGCAGAAGAAGCACCGGCUAACUCCGUGCCAGCAGCCGCGGUAAUACGGAGGGUGCAAGCGUUACUCGGAAUUACUGGGCGUAAAGCGCACGCAGGCGGUUUGUUAAGUCAGAUGUGAAAUCCCCGGGCUCAACCUGGGAACUGCAUCUGAUACUGGCAAGCUUGAGUCUCGUAGAGGGGGGUAGAAUUCCAGGUGUAGCGGUGAAAUGCGUAGAGAUCUGGAGGAAUACCGGUGGCGAAGGCGGCCCCCUGGACGAAGACUGACGCUCAGGUGCGAAAGCGUGGGGAGCAAACAGG
This 429-nucleotide ribosomal RNA is filed under the name Chloroflexota bacterium. RNAcentral describes it as "Chloroflexi bacterium partial 16S ribosomal RNA". It matches the Rfam family "Bacterial small subunit ribosomal RNA", at positions 355 to 776 of the family's 1533-position model. Lineage: Bacteria; Bacillati; Chloroflexota. The record is from RNAcentral.